Molecule: non-coding RNA, 112 nt
Organism: Cryphonectria parasitica EP155
Lineage: Eukaryota; Fungi; Ascomycota; Sordariomycetes; Diaporthales; Cryphonectriaceae
Source: the annotation of a RefSeq genome assembly
GCGCAAAUGGUUUAGUGGUAAAAUCCAUCGUUGCCAUCUUCUUCACGAUCUUCGCGGAUCUUAAAGGAAAAAUUGAUUCGAUGGGCCCCCGGUUCGAUUCCGGGUUUGCGCA